CUCUCUCUCUCUCUCGUUGUGGUUGGAUUUGUAUGACGGUUUGGACUGAUUUUCUUCACACAAUGGGUUGAAUCUAUUGUUCUGAUGCAAAAUUUUCAAUAUCUUGUUCGCUCAAACAUAUAUGCAAUUCCCUAUAACUACCUAUAUUUGAUUUAAAUAAUAUUAUUUAUUUACCUUCUUCCAAGUUCUUCUUAUGUUUGAAUGCUUUGUGAUCUGUUAGUCGGAGUUUCACUUUCGUGCAAUGAAACAUAGUGAUUCUGCUACUCCCCACCCAACAUAGUGAUUCUGCCGUGUUUUUGUUGUUCAAGUCGUUGAGGGUGUUUCUAAAAGAGGCGUCUCCUCUCAAUCAUUGGGGCUUUGGUUCCACUUUGUAGUUUUGUUUUUUCUUAUGUCUAGAACAAAUUUUUCUAAACCCUUUUUGCCCUGCAAAGGUCCUGUUGUUAUUUAGGGAUUGUAGACGAUUUACUUAUAUUUUUGACUUUUGGUAUCAUGCAUCAAGUAUAUAGAUUUUCUUGUAAUGCAAGUGCUUGUAAUGAGAGCCAAGAUUGUGGAGGAUUACUUUAUCAUGUUAGGCAAAUGGAUUGUGGUUAUUAGUUGUAAGCCCAUGAUCGGUUCAUUGAAAUUAAGAAUUUAACACAAGCCAGUAAAUUAGGAGUAAUUAGCCCCAAAGUUCUUUUCAUUAUGUCUGUUUUCAAUUAUAGUUAUGAUUUUAGGGUUUUCUUGGAUUACUUAACCAUUACCCCCUCGUUUUGGGAUGCAGUUAUUUUUUUGGGUUUAGAAAUCUACUUCCCCCUCCAACUAUUUCGAUUUUAGUUACUUCCUCCUCCAACUACCAAUUGAAGCUACUUCCCCCUCCAACUUCCAAAACGUUAUUCCCUCCAUCCAAUACCUAACUCCGAUCUAAUUCUUGGCUGGAAAACUCAACACCUCUAACUCCAAAAUGGUUUUGGCACCCUGAAUGUGGUUUUGCCCAUCUGGUUUCACAGCACCAAGGUCCAAAGAAAAGCAAUGCAGUCAGCCAAUCUCACGACCAAUGUUCACUCUGCCAUCACAGCGAUCAUGGCCCACACCCAAGGCCCCCUGUAGAAGGGGAGGUAUAGCUACCAGAGGAAGUGCAGCUAGAAAGGGAGGUGCCCCUUAAAGUUCAGUUUUAUAGUGUCUUUAUUUAGCUAGUAUUUUGGUGUUUUGGUACAGUUAAUGGCUGAAAAAGCCUUCUUUUGCUACUAUUAUGGUUGAAAAAGCCUUCUUUUGCUACUGUUAUGGCUGAAAAAGCCUUCUUUUGCUACUGUUAUGGCUGAAAAAGCCUUCUUUGGCUUAUGUGUUGAUGGCUAUUCAUGCCUCAUUUAGGUACUGUUAUGUUGCUACUAUUAUGUUUGUGGUACUGCUGUGGUCUAUGGAACCAUUAUGGCUAUUUUCAGUCUUCUUAAUUUGUUUAUCAUGGUAUUCAUAUGCUGCUGCUGUAUUUUUUGGAAUGGAGUAUAUGGAUUGGACUGUUUGAAGCUUGAAGCUGGUGCUAUAUUAGGAUAUGGUGCUAUAUUAUGGCUAUUUUUUUUUUGGAAUGGAGUAUAUGGUGCUAUAUUAGUCUUCUCUUAUCUGUAAUCCAUUCAUUCAUUCGGCCUUGCAAUCCAUUCAUACAUUUGAAGCAAAACAGAUUAGGCCUUCUCUAUGGACUGCAUUUAUGUUUAUGGAAUCAUGAAGCAUUAUGCUUGUGGUCUGUUUUGUUUUUCCCUGCAGAAUUUCAGUUUCGAUGCUGUUUUUCCUUUCAGAAUACUGGUUCUUUCUGCUGCUUUUUUUUUGGGUAUAUUAGGAUUGGAAUGCUUAAAGGUUGAAGCUGGUUGGGUGUUGGUUCAACAACAGUCAUUGGACUGCAUUCAUAAAGCUAGGAAACCAGUUUUGUGACUGUCAUGGACUGAAUAUGCUAGGAAAAAACUUCAAACUUCAUUCAUUCAUAUAACAAUCAGUUAUCUAUUUCAGAAAAUGAAGAGGGGAAAAUGCAGAACUGUAACUGUGCCCAGCAUGCCAAUAGAUCAAUAGUUGGCAAGUCCAAACUGUAACUGUGCUGAGUUCUCCAUCUGCAUUCACAAGCUCUCUCUUAUGCCAUUGUCGGUCUUAGGAUUAAACUAAUGACUCGGUCGUACACAAGUUGAAUUGGCAAUGGAGAAUGCAAUUUGGGGUCCUUAGGGCCUUCAUGGAAAGUGAUGCCCUCUCUAUUGACAGUCAGGCGAUCUGUUGGUCAUGAUCCUUAUGGCGGGAGGCUCAAAGAAAUUUCUUUGUAUCUUGGUUGUAUAUUCUUGUUAUGUGAAUGAGACAAUCAGGUUGGCACUGCUCUCUAUCACGAAAGCUCUAUUGUUAUUUGGGUGAUGCAGAUUGAGGAUUAAAGCCCCCCAAAGGUAUGCUUUGGUAACUCGAUGGAUGUAUGAUUUUAUUUCUUGCAUUUUUAUUUCCAUUUGAGGAGUUAGAACUAAUGACUUUACAGUACAGAAUACAGAUACUCAUAGUUCGUCAUUUUGGCUUUCUUCCCAAUGCUACGAUGGGAAAAUACUUUUGGUUGUUCCGCUUAUUUUGUUUGCCAAGCAGCCAAGGCACUCUUACUUUGGUUUUUGGUGUGUUAUGCAACCUGACUCCUUUCCAGUACUAUCGGAUUCACCUUAAAAAAUGGAAUUCUAUAGCUUCUCAUACAAAUUUACUUAAUUUUGUUUGAAGUUAGUUCUGAAUUGGAUAGGAAGUAUCGGUAGUUGGGUUGAAGGACUAGGAAUGGGUUAGAAUGUCGUUGCCUUGGUGAUGCUGCAAUUUCUAUUGCUGUGUUACAUCACCUAAGUACGGAGAGCAGAAGGAAGAAAGCAAUAGAUGAAUUAAUUCGAGUUGUUAAGAAGGGUGGUCUUGUUCUGAUUACUGUUUGGGCUGUGGAACAAGAGGAUAGGUCGUUGGUUAACAAAUGGACCCCACUGAUGGAUAAGUAUGUAGAGGAGUGGAUAGGACCAAGUGACCCUUGUAUGUGCAACCCUCCAUCCUUGACCUUGGAAAGCAUCCAGAAGUUGAGGAAAAUAGUAUGGGAAAAAAUAUCAUGGAUACUUCUUUGAUUACGAAGUUGCCAAAACUAUGCAUGCAACUUCUUGAAGCAAAGGUAAACCUAUUGGCAGCUAAAAAUGGAAAAAAUGUUGAAAACCAGCCAGAGUUUUUCGUCCCUUGGCAUUUGCCUUAUUCACCGUGCUGAAGUUGGUGGAGCUUCGACUUGUGCUCUUGCAAAUGGGUUGGUUAAAAAAGAUGAUAAAAAGAGUGCAGUAGUGUACAACAGAUAUUACCAUACCUUCAGUGAAGGUGAGCUUGAAAGGCUGGUAUCUGACACGAGUAACGCAGUUGUUUAUGACAAAUCAAACUGGUGCAUUGUUCUUGAGAAGACAAUAUGAAGUAUUGGACCUGCUGAAUCAGCCAAUACAACUGAAAUCUUUGUGCAAGAUGGGUCAUUGUUUCAAGGCUAGGGCUCUUGCAAUGUAAACGUUUUCAACAAAAGAAAGGAUCAAGCGCAGACUACUGAUCCCAGAAAGGCACAUGCUAGGAUGUUUUGUCACGGAAGGCAUCCAGAUGGCAAGCGCAUGAUCCUGUGGUUCAGUAUGCGGCGCAUCAUCUUGUCAACUCCAUCCGGUAGAGGUCCAAGUGUCCAACUCAUUAUUCCCUUAAAAUCUUGCGUAGAUCGUUAACGCAAAAGCUGAGACUAUGUUACCUGAAACGCGGAUCAUUUUGGUAUGAGGAACAAGAACGGGAAUGAAGUACGGCACAUGCUUAAAAUGUGUGGUAGCAAAACAGGGCUGUCAUUUUAGGCUAUCAUAGUCUUUGUUUAGUCAGGAGAGGACGCCUAUAUGUGUUACGGUCUCUUUUGUUGCAUCUUGAAGAAUCUCCAGAAUGUUAAUUGAUUUCCCACUACCUUCAGAUGCUGCAGAUAAAAGCUUUCGAUAAAGCUGUGUUGAUGAAGAACCGGGAAAGAUGGUGACAACAAAGGAAAUUUAUGACAUGCUCGAUUGACCUCUAAUUCUCAAAUUCUCAAAUAUUUGGUUGAGCAAGUGUUUCUUAUCAAAGAGAAAGAAGUUGACAUAUCAACCAUCAAAUUUGAAGUUUGGCCAACUUGGAGUAUCUAUUUAUACUUGCAUGUUACAACAAGAGCCGCAAAAAUUCCGAUGAGGUUAAUUGUGCCUAUUAUGUCUCUUCUUCGGCACCAUGGUGAUCUUUAGCCUGGAGUAAAAGGUUGAUUGUGCUUAUUAUGGCGCUUCUUCAGCUGUAUACAUAAGCCUGGAGUAAAAGGUGCUUGUGGGAAGAGUCUUGGGAUACUUCACAAGGUUUUUUGAAAGUGUCUUUCUCCCCCUUUCCUUGUCUUAGUUAAUUCUAGGAUAUCCAUGCCUAAUGACGAAGCAAAGGGUUGUCAUGAAGCAAUAGGACUCCAUACAAAGUAAAAUCGAUUUGGGCUGACCUGGAAAUAUAACACUACAUGUAUUGUUUCGGUAUCACAUUUUUCCAUAAAUUUAGAUAUCUUGCAAUAGGGUUUUGGUCUCUUCUUCUGUUGGAACUAAAAUGUUGCACAAUUGUUUUUUCCUUUCUUGGGCUUUCGUAUGUUAGUACCUAACUUGCUUCUACUCGGCUGUUACAGAUUUACAUCUUUCAUUCGUUGCUUCAUUAAAUGGAUGACUUACUUCA
Long non-coding RNA from Rhododendron vialii, 4686 nucleotides. RefSeq lists it as uncharacterized. Lineage: Eukaryota; Viridiplantae; Streptophyta; Magnoliopsida; Ericales; Ericaceae. The transcript has 12 exons. The record is from RefSeq and is a predicted model, not a curated record.